GAACGGCAUCACGAAGGUUGUACUGUCUCCCCUUUUUAAUCAGUGAAACUAAUCUUCCCGUGAAGAAGCGGGAAUGCUAUAAUAAGACGAGAAGACCCUAUGGAGCUUUAAACUAUCUAACACUUGCUGUCACUCUUUCACUUUCAGCAGCCUCACAAAAAACACAGCAUUAUGAUUACAAGUUUUCGAUUGGGGUGAUCACGGAGUAAAAAUCAACCUCCACGCCAAAUGGGCCCAACCCUGAACCAUAAGCCACAACUUUAAGUACUAAAAAAUUAUUGUUUCUUGACCCAAUAAUUUGAUCAACGAACCAAGUUACCCUAGGGAUAACAGCGCAAUCCACUUCAAGAGCCCCUAUCGACAAGUGG
RNAcentral lists this ribosomal RNA (368 nucleotides) under Aplastodiscus albosignatus (Lutz's treefrog). Its description in RNAcentral is "partial 16S ribosomal RNA". It matches the Rfam family "Bacterial large subunit ribosomal RNA", at positions 1994 to 2515 of the family's 2925-position model. The record is from RNAcentral. Lineage: Eukaryota; Metazoa; Chordata; Amphibia; Anura; Hylidae.